CCCUUAGAUGUUCUGGGCCGCACGCGCGCUACACUGACGAAGUCAGCGAGCAUGUCCUACGCCGACAGGUGCGGGGAAUCUUGUCAAACUUCGUCGUGAUGGGGAUUGAUUAUUGAAAUUCUUGAUCAUCAACGAGGAAUUCCUAGUAAGCGCAAGUCAGCAGCUUGCGUUGAUUACGUCCCUGCCCUUUGUACACACCGCCCGUCGCUACUACCGAUUGAAUGGUUUAGUGAGAUCUUCGGAUUGGCGCCACUGCGGCUCAACAAUGGGCUCGGUGGAUGCCGAAAAGUUGAUCAAACUUGAUCAUUUAGAGGAAGUAAAAGUCGUAACA
Molecule: ribosomal RNA, 331 nt
Filed under: uncultured eukaryote
Lineage: Eukaryota
Description: partial 18S ribosomal RNA
Rfam family: Eukaryotic small subunit ribosomal RNA
Source: RNAcentral